Erinaceus europaeus (western European hedgehog) is the source of this 127-nucleotide small nucleolar RNA. Its record names the gene SNORD22. It matches the Rfam family "Small nucleolar RNA SNORD22". Rfam says of the family: U22 is a member of the C/D class of snoRNA which contain the C (UGAUGA) and D (CUGA) box motifs. U22 is encoded within the U22 snoRNA host gene (UHG) in mammals and has also been identified in Xenopus. The record is from Ensembl. Lineage: Eukaryota; Metazoa; Chordata; Mammalia; Eulipotyphla; Erinaceidae.
UUCCGGUGAAGAAACACCCGAAUGUCUUACCUGCUGUCCUAGUCCCAAAGCCUGCAAAGGUGAACCCACUGGGACUGGCUGGGGGAAAAAGAGGAAAUUUUCUUCCAGAAAGAACUGUCUGAGGGAU